Molecule: long non-coding RNA, 2561 nt
Organism: Anser brachyrhynchus (Pink-footed goose)
Lineage: Eukaryota; Metazoa; Chordata; Aves; Anseriformes; Anatidae
Source: Ensembl
ACAUGGGCUCUGCCAGCUCUAUGCUUCCCCAGCCAGGAGCUUUGUCCCUGCCACGGCUGCCCCCACGCACCCGCUCUGCCAUGCAGCCCGUGCUGAUCCCCUGGCCUACAGGACCCCCUCUCCUUCCCCCCUGCUGGAUGCUGCUCCCCAAACCCCUCUGCUCCCCCUGUGUCUGAGGCACAUCUGCCUCUUGUCCCUGGACCCCCUGGUGCCCUACAUGUCCGCCCAAGUCAUGUCCCCACAGGUGUUGUCUUCUGCACGCAGCCUUUCCCUGCCUGGCUGCCCCAAACUUUUCCCUACCAGCCCAGCCCACCAGGAGCUUUGCUCCACUCCAGCAUGCUUGCGGGGCUUAGCCCCUCCUGCUGUUCUCCCAGCCCUGUAUCCUAAUGCUACUUGAGCCUAUUCCAAUUCAAUAGAGCAUUGCUCCCUCCAUGGCCCUUCAAAGUCAUCUAGUCCUGCCUCUUUCUCCCAACACCUCCUUAUUCUCUGUGUCUGUCCAUGCUCUGCAGUUUAUCUCGCCAGAACUGGCACUGCCUGCCAAACCAGAGAAGAGCCACAGCAAUGCCCUUUGCUCCUUCCCAUUCUCGCAGACAUUCUGAUACCAUGGAAGAUAUUGAGGCAGACCAUCCCUGUUUGCUGUACCUCGCAUUGCAGCAGUGUGCUCAGAGGUGGAGGAGACUCGGGGCAUGGAGGGGAAGGGGCCCAGCCUGGUGUCAACAACACUAAGAGGCUUAGCCAGCAUCAUGAACGCCUUCUGUGACUGCAGACCUGAGAAACGAAUCUGGGUGUUAAAAGCCAUGGGAUUGCAGGGCUGGCUCACCCCUGCCUGCCUGCUCAUCAGGAGAGGUGGCUGCCUCGCACCAGAGAGCAGUUUCUAAUGAGCUGUUGGGUAAAUGCCCCUUCGAGAUGUGUGCCAGGGGCCCAGUUCUGAUACGUGCCCAGGGGAAGCUCUAGCCAGCAUGACCAGCACUGCUCCUUCUGCCUUGUGCCUGUGCAUGCAGUGCUGAGCCCUGCUGGAGCUGAGGCCUUCUGGCCAGGAAGGGCCUUCUAUUAAUCCUCUCAGAUUUAUAGAAAAACACUUCCAAAGUUAGAGGAUGAGUCUGAGGAUUUUUAGGCUGAUUUGGCUUUUGUGCAAGAGGCUAAAUAUGGCAAGUCAGAUAAAAUCAGCUGCAGCCCCGGAGAGAGCAUCUCGUGCUUCCCGUCCAGCAUCCCUGUGAGCAUUUGGAGGAAGGCCUGGGGGCUGUGCUGUGGCGAGUCCCUCAAAGAGCACACUGGAGGAGUCAUUUGGCUGUUUGAAUUUGUGUCUGCAGCUCCACGGGUUUCCUGAGCCUGGAGGGCAGAGGGAGGGAGGUGAAAAGAGAGAGGUGGCUGAUUUAUAGCUUACCAUCUUCUCUGAUCUUGAUUGCCCUUUGUCUUGGGAGUCUCUCUUAUCCAGACAUGGAGAUGGGAGGAGGGGAUCUGUUUCAGAGAUUGCUGAACUCUGGGUGUUUGCCGUUUCCUGGAGAUCUUUUGAUGUUCCCUUUGCUUUAAAACAUUUCCAAUGUUAAGUUUCUCAGUCUCCUCCUGCACCUCGACUCUCGACAUCGGAGCACGAUCCAUCACAACUUACCCAAACAAUCUCCAGCAAGGCGAGACCUCCCCAUGUCUGGGGCCAGCGAGGCAAUCUGUCCCCACAGGGCUAGGCUGCAGGGCUUCCAAGGCACUGCUCUGCACCUUGUCCCAUGCCAAUGCGCAGCUGUAGGCCACCUGGAUCUGAAAUGAACCUCAUCCUUCAACCCAGGUGACAAAUUCCUGACAUCUCUGUCACUCAUCUGGGACAGGGAUGCCUAGCAAACAAAAGCCACCACUAAGCAAAAGACUUAUGAUGGAGAUCUUGGUUUUCUCAUAACCCAUAGAGCAAGUGAUGGACUCUUGAUUAGGUUCCCCAUUGAAGGAUGAUGAGCUGUGCCUUCAGCAAGCACAACACCUUGCAGGGGCUGUCUUUCAUGGAGCAGAAAGCAUGAGAGUGAAAUAACGACUGGACUGUGUUUUCAGGUGUGUUUGGCUCCCUUUGCUGGGCAGUGAUGUGGGUAUCCUCAGGGUGCUGCUCUCUGCAGACACACCUGAGCAGAAGAUGCAGGAUGCUGGGGAGGACUGGUGCUGCCGCAGCACUGCAAGGUGUUAGGAAGGCAGGCGUGUGUGGACUGAGGUCUGCGUCUUGCCUUUCUCCAAGGCAGCCCAGCACAAUGAUUUCUACAGGAAGAAAACCAGCUCUCUGAGUGAGGUAUCACCAGGGCUAUGCACUUAAGUGAUUCCUAUAGAUACUGCUAAAAGUCAAGAGCUCAGCUCACUAGGGGAAGAAGUGCUCUUCCUCAGGCACACCAGACCCUUCUGAUCCGAAUCUCUACCAGGCUGUGAAAGGUCUUUAGCUCAGAGACUAUCCUCAUUCAGUCUGGUAUGUCCAGCUUGUCAGCUCUGGUAGUGGACAUGGGGUCUGAUAAAAGCCCAUCAAACAGUCCUUUCCUGUAAAUCCUUUCAUAGCACUGACAGUUAAUAAAAUUGAUUUCAUGUAACUGCUGCCA